Molecule: ribosomal RNA, 440 nt
Filed under: uncultured bacterium
Lineage: Bacteria
Description: partial 16S ribosomal RNA
Rfam family: Bacterial small subunit ribosomal RNA
Source: RNAcentral
CCUACGGGCGGCAGCAGUGGGGAAUAUUGCACAAUGGGGGAAACCCUGAUGCAGCGACGCCGCGUGAGUGAAGAAGUAAUUCGUUACGUAAAGCUCUAUCAGCAGGGAAGAAAAUGACGGUACCUGAGCAAGAAGCCCCGGCUAACUACGUGCCAGCAGCCGCGGUAAUACGUAGGGGGCAAGCGUUAUCCGGAUUUACUGGGUGGAAAGGGAGCGUAGACGGCAGUGCAAGUCUGGAGUGAAAGGCGGGGGCACAACCCCCGGACUGCUCUGGAAACUGUACGGCUGGAGUGCAGGAGAGGUAAGUGGAAUUCCUAGUGUAGCGGUGAAAUGCGUAGAUAUUAGGAGGAACACCAGUGGCGAAGGCGGCUUACUGGACUGUAACUGACGUUGAGGCUCGAAAGCGUGGGGAGCAAACAGGAUUAGAUACCCCUGUAGUC